Molecule: transfer RNA, 77 nt
Filed under: Thiomonas intermedia K12
Lineage: Bacteria; Pseudomonadati; Pseudomonadota; Betaproteobacteria; Burkholderiales
Also listed under: 32 other names
Description: tRNA-Pro (TGG) (tRNA-Pro-TGG-1-1)
Rfam family: tRNA
About the family: Transfer RNA (tRNA) molecules are approximately 80 nucleotides in length. Their secondary structure includes four short double-helical elements and three loops (D, anti-codon, and T loops).
Source: RNAcentral
CGGGGCGUAGCGCAGUCUGGUAGCGCAUCUGCUUUGGGAGCAGAGGGUCGGAGGUUCGAAUCCUCUCGCCCCGACCA